RNAcentral lists this ribosomal RNA (496 nucleotides) under uncultured bacterium. RNAcentral describes it as "bacterial SSU rRNA". It matches the Rfam family "Bacterial small subunit ribosomal RNA", at positions 28 to 517 of the family's 1533-position model. The record is from RNAcentral.
GAUGAACGCUAGCGGCAGGCUUAAUACAUGCAAGUCGUGGGGCAGCAUGAGUAGCAAUACUUGAUGGCGACCGGCAAAACGGGUGAGGAACACGUACACAACCUUCCUUCAAGCGGGGAAUAGCCCAGAGAAAUUUGGAUUAAAUACCCCAUAAUAUAUUUGAUAAGGCAUCUUAUUAAUAUUAAAAGCUUCGGCACUUGAUGAUGGGUGUGCGGCUGAUUAGAUAGUUGGCGGGGUAACGGCCCACCAAGUCUACGAUCAGUAGCUGAUGUGAGAGCAUGAUCAGCCACACGGGCACUGAGACACGGGCCCGACUCCUACGGGAGGCAGCAGUAAGGAAUAUUGGACAAUGGACGAAAGUCUGAUCCAGCCAUGCCGCGUGAAGGAUUAAGGUCCUCUGGAUUGUAAACUUCUUUAUAUGGGACGAAAAAGGGCAUUCUUGUUCACUUGACGGUACCAUAUGAAUAAGCACCGGCUAACUCCGUGCCAGCAGCCG